Unclassified non-coding RNA from Sorex araneus (European shrew), 298 nucleotides. Its record names the gene 7SK. It matches the Rfam family "7SK RNA". From Rfam's summary of the family: 7SK was discovered as an abundant small nuclear RNA in the mid-70s but a possible function has only recently been suggested. Two independent studies have found that 7SK RNA binds the CDK9/cyclin T complex (known as elongation factor P-TEFb). NCBI's taxonomy places the organism in Eukaryota, Metazoa, Chordata, Mammalia, Eulipotyphla, Soricidae. The record is from Ensembl.
GGAUGUGAAGACAAUAUGGGUGAGAUCUUUUGGCUCAGCCAUGGCCAGGGUUGAUUUGGAUUAUCUGACCGGCUAAGUUAGCGUCCCAUUUCUACCUCACCAUUUCAUGUCAUCUCUCCAGAAGCUGCAUGCUCAAUCAAUAAGGAUGCCCUUCCCCACAAGGAGAAGGACCAUUCUUUGUUCUAGGAUACAAAAGUAGCUAAGGUCCCCUGCUACAACCUCCAAGAAAACUUUCCCAAGUUUAGGUUCAUGCAGAACCAGAAUGUUGCUUAGUUCAGCUAAUGAGAUUUUAUACAUU